AACGAUUUUGGAGACAGUAGGAGUUCCACGUUGAGAGAAAUUCUUGUUGAACCCAAUCAAGUUGUUGUUCCAGUUCCCGUCAUACAGGAAAGAGUUGGUUCCCAACCAAUUGAAGUUGUUAAUGAAGAACUGAGGAACCAGGAGGAAUCUCCAAUUCCUCAAACAACGAUUGAAUCGGUUCCUGAGCCACAAGUUAGGAGAUCACAAAGGGAAAGAAGAUCUGCAUUGCCC
Molecule: long non-coding RNA, 231 nt
Filed under: Olea europaea (common olive)
Lineage: Eukaryota; Viridiplantae; Streptophyta; Magnoliopsida; Lamiales; Oleaceae
Description: long non-coding RNA (OEUR_LNC013673)
Source: RNAcentral